AUAUUGGACAAUGGGCGAAAGCCUGAUCCAGCAACGCCGCGUGAGGGAUGACGGCCUUCGGGUUGUAAACCUCUUUCAGCGGGGACGAAGCGCAAGUGACGGUACCAGCAGAAGAAGCAACGGCCAACUACGUGCCAGCAGCCGCGGUAAUACGUAGGGUGCGAGCGUUGUCCGGAAUUAUUGGGCGUAAAGGGCUCGUAGGCGGUUUGUCGCGUCGGGAGUGAAAACCAGGUGCUUAACACCUGGCCUGCUUCCGAUACGGGCAGACUAGAGGUAUGCAGGGGAGAACGGAAUUCCUGGUGUAGCGGUGAAAUGCGCAGAUAUCAGGAGGAACACCGGUGGCGAAGGCGGUUCUCUGGGCAUUACCUGACGCUGAGGAGCGAAAGUGUGGGGAGCGAACAGG
RNAcentral lists this ribosomal RNA (403 nucleotides) under uncultured bacterium. RNAcentral describes it as "bacterial SSU rRNA". It matches the Rfam family "Bacterial small subunit ribosomal RNA", at positions 361 to 776 of the family's 1533-position model. The record is from RNAcentral.